RNAcentral lists this transfer-messenger RNA (339 nucleotides) under uncultured Butyrivibrio sp. It matches the Rfam family "transfer-messenger RNA". Rfam says of the family: Bacterial tmRNA, also known as 10Sa RNA or SsrA, is named for its dual tRNA and mRNA-like properties. Its role is to liberate the mRNA from a stalled ribosome. To accomplish this part of the tmRNA is used as a reading frame that ends in a translation stop signal. The record is from RNAcentral. Lineage: Bacteria; Bacillati; Bacillota; Clostridia; Lachnospirales; Lachnospiraceae.
GGGCUUGUACAGGUUUCGACGGGGAUUUUGAAUUCGGAGAAGCAAGUCGUAUGGUAAUGCGUUAAAUUCCAAAUUAAAUAUAAACGCAGACGAAAAAUUUGCACUUGCUGCCUAAUGGCAGCUGUCAGCUCUAGUGCACCUGCACAUUAGAUAACUGGCAUCGACCUUGCAGGAAACGACUUAUGCAAAGCUUUGAGCAUAUGGGCGUAUUAUGAAGCUACUAAACUGUGUAUCGUGUCAAUUCGAGACGCAGGGAGGGAAUUCCAGUUAAUUGACUAAGCUUGUAGAAGUACGAGGGAUGGAUUUUCGGACAGGGGUUCGAUUCCCCUCAGGUCCACU